GACGAUGUCCGGGUGAGAGUUCUCAAGAGCGCUGAUUCGGUGAUGUACCUCUUGAGCUUGGUGCUUGUAGGAUUCUUCCUCUUCGCACGCCUUUGCCAGCUUGGCACGAUCAGCCAUAUACCGUAGGGCUCUGAACAUCGGGAUCUGCAUUGAUUCGAUGUAUGCCAUGGGUGCAAGAGCUUCUUUUGCGUCCUCUUGGACUCGGCCUUUGAUUUCGUUGAAAAUUUGUCAAAUUGGCGAGGUGUCUUCCCUGGAGGAGGGUUUGGAUAUUCUGGAGCUUGGCACGUAUUUCUUCGGGGUUUGAACCUAGA
Molecule: long non-coding RNA, 311 nt
Filed under: Setaria viridis
Lineage: Eukaryota; Viridiplantae; Streptophyta; Magnoliopsida; Poales; Poaceae
Description: long non-coding RNA (SVIR_LNC009229)
Source: RNAcentral